AUUGAACGCUGGCGGCAUGCCUAACACAUGCAAGUCGAACGGCAGCACGGCAGUAGCAAUACUGUGGGUGGCGAGUGGCGGACGGGUGAGGAAUACGUCGGAAUCUGCCCAGUCGUGGGGGAUAACUAGCCGAAAGGUUAGCUAAUACCGCAUACGACCGAGAGGUGAAAGCGGGGGACCGCAAGGCCUCGCGCGAUUGGAUAAGCCGACGUCGGAUUAGCUAGUUGGUGGGGUAAAGGCCCACCAAGGCGACGAUCCGUAGCUGGUCUGAGAGGAUGAUCAGCCACACUGGAACUGAGACACGGUCCAGACUCCUACGGGAGGCAGCAGUGGGGAAUAUUGGACAAUGGGCGCAAGCCUGAUCCAGCAAUGCCGCGUGUGUGAAGAAGGCC
This 392-nucleotide ribosomal RNA is filed under the name uncultured bacterium. RNAcentral describes it as "bacterial SSU rRNA". It matches the Rfam family "Bacterial small subunit ribosomal RNA", at positions 29 to 416 of the family's 1533-position model. The record is from RNAcentral.